Molecule: long non-coding RNA, 782 nt
Organism: Sapajus apella (tufted capuchin)
Lineage: Eukaryota; Metazoa; Chordata; Mammalia; Primates; Cebidae
Exons: 3
Source: RefSeq, a predicted model, not a curated record
UUUUUAUAACUUCUUAAGAGAUGAUCCCCUCUUCGCCACUCCCACUCCUUUCAGCCCUACAUCAUUUCUCAUCUUAGUCACCAUAGUAUGCUUCUAACUCAUCUCCCUGUCCAGAUUGGAAAACAUUUCUGAACAUACUCCACAUUACUGACAGCGAUCAUCUAAAAGCACCCCUUUUUGAAAACACUAAUAAUGAAAUCCAAAUCCCAUAGCAUACCAUACAAAGUCCUAUUACUGGCCUACAUUUCCAGCCUAAUUUCGAGAACUAUUUGUAGUUCCCCUAACUCAUCAUACUACUUCCAAUGUCCACACUUUUGCUUAGAAAGCCUUUCCCUGUUUCUCACCUAGUCAAAAGGUGACUUUAUUUCUUUAAAGACUCAACACACAUAUCAGGGAUUCUGAGCUCUGGCAUUUCUAGACUCUGUAAAAUGAUUUUUCUUUGAACUCCAGAGUACCUUGUACAUACCUCCAUUGUAGAGAAUACCAUACUGUUGUAUUUAUACAUGUACGUAGAUGUUGAUCUCUCUCACUAGAUUGAGAACUCCUUGAGGACAGGGACUGUGUCUAAUUAAUCUCCAUAUUCCCAUUACCCAGCACAGUGCCUGGCAGCUCAAAUGACAGUAGAGAGGAGAGAUGCUGAAUAUGCAGGAGUGAGAAUAAAGCAAUGUACUUGAGUAAUGGUACAAUACAAAUAUGCUGAAUGAAUUGAAGCUAUAGAAAAACAUAUUUUGGCUCAAUAUUGUAAAGAGGUCUCAAAAGAAGGGGCAAGAUAUCUCAAGAAC